GAAAGUGGUAAGGAUAAGUGCAAUAGAAGAGUAAAAUCUUUAGAAGAUAGUACUACUUUAGCCGAUGAUAAAGUAAGUAGUAAUGACGAAAAUAAUAUAAUAAAUGCCGGUUACGUAACUAGUAAUGGUCAUACGAAAAAGGAAAACAGCGAAAGUAACAAAGAUGGUAAUGUCAGUGAUAACAGUAAUGGCAACCGUAAUAACAACAGUAAUGGAAACAGUAACGACAACAGUAAUGGAAACAGUAACGACAACAGUAAUGACAACAGUAAUGGAAAAACCAAUAUCAUUACUCGUGUUGACAUUUUUAAACAAACCGAUUUAGACCAUUUUGAAAAUAACAAUUUAAUUUAUUACGAUGAUACCGUAGAUAGUGAAUAUAAAGAUGCCAAAGAAAUAACUAAACGAAUUAAAAAAAAAAAAAAAAAAAAUAAAAAAAAAAAAAAAAAAAAAAAAAAAAAAAAAAAAAAAAAAAAAAAAAAACUUACAUGCGUAUGCGUAUGCGUAUGUGUGUGUGUGUGUGUAUAUGUGUUAACAGUAAAGCCACUUCUCUCUUUCUGUGGGAUUAUCACAACAUUGUUUUUGUAAAAAAAUUAAGAUCAAUUGGUUUCUUAAUUUGUUUUUAUAACUUUGUUUCGAAUUUAUUUACUAUAACUUCAGCUUUUUUUUUUUUUUUUUAACUUCUGCUUCUUCUUUUUUUUUUAUGCUAUAUAUAUAUAUAUAUAUAUAUAUUUAUAUAAAACUAAACACGCAUAUACUAUCUUAAAAAACAUACAUACGUACUUGUUAUGAUUCAUUUUUAUGAACGUUCAAUUUUUUUUUUUUUUUUUUUUUAAUGUUUCAUAUUUAAUCGUGUCAGACAUAUAUAUAUGCAUGAGCGUACAUAUUAUUUAGUCAAAUUUUUUGUUUAUUUUUGUGUGUUUAAACAUUUUCUUUUUCUGUUACUGCUCUAAAAAUAGCACAACCUAGUAGUGUAUUAAAUAUAAAAAAAAAUUUUAGUUAAGAUCAUACCAAGUUAUAUGUAAAUUAUAUGUAGUAACGUUUUUUUUUUUUGUUCGUAUCAUAUAGCAUAUAAGUUAGUAUUGUUUUUACAAAUCUGUUACAUAUCCUGCAACAAAUUCUUUUUUCCUUUUUCUUUUUCCUUCUGGUGCUGUGAAAGUAAAAAACAAAUUGUAAUAAAAUAAAAAAAAAAUAAAUAAAAAAUAAAUAA
Molecule: long non-coding RNA, 1210 nt
Filed under: Piliocolobus tephrosceles (Ugandan red Colobus)
Lineage: Eukaryota; Metazoa; Chordata; Mammalia; Primates; Cercopithecidae
Description: lncRNA (ENSPTEG00000011460.1)
Source: RNAcentral